RNAcentral lists this ribosomal RNA (301 nucleotides) under uncultured bacterium. RNAcentral's name for it is "partial 16S ribosomal RNA". It matches the Rfam family "Bacterial small subunit ribosomal RNA", at positions 509 to 808 of the family's 1533-position model. The record is from RNAcentral.
CAGCCGCCGCGGUAAUCCGUAGGUCCCGAGCGUUGUCCGGAUUUAUUGGGCGUAAAGCGAGCGCAGGCGGUUAGAUAAGUCUGAAGUUAAAGGCUGUGGCUUAACCAUAGUACGCUUUGGAAACUGUUUAACUUGAGUGCAAGAGGGGAGAGUGGAAUUCCAUGUGUAGCGGUGAAAUGCGUAGAUAUAUGGAGGAACACCGGUGGCGAAAGCGGCUCUCUGGCUUGUAACUGACGCUGAGGCUCGAAAGCGUGGGGAGCAAACAGGAUUAGAUACCCCCGUAGUCCCUGUCUCUUAUACA